GCAAGUCGAGCGGACAGAAGGGAGCUUGCUCCCGGAUGUUAGCGGCGGACGGGUGAGUAACACGUGGGUAACCUGCCUGUAAGACUGGGAUAACUUCGGGAAACCGGAGCUAAUACCGGAUAGUUCCUUGAACCGCAUGGUUCAAGGAUGAAAGACGGUUUCGGCUGUCACUUACAGAUGGACCCGCGGCGCAUUAGCUAGUUGGUGGGGUAAUGGCUCACCAAGGCGACGAUGCGUAGCCGACCUGAGAGGGUGAUCGGCCACACUGGGACUGAGACACGGCCCAGACUCCUACGGGAGGCAGCAGUAGGGAAUCUUCCGCAAUGGACGAAAGUCUGACGGAGCAACGCCGCGUGAGUGAUGAAGGUUUUCGGAUCGUAAAGCUCUGUUGUUAGGGAAGAACAAGUGCGAGAGUAACUGCUCGCACCUUGACGGUACCUAACCAGAAAGCCACGGCUAACUACGUGCCAGCAGCCGCGGUAAUACGUAGGUGGCAAGCGUUGUCCGGAAUUAUUGGGCGUAAAGGGCUCGCAGGCGGUUUCUUAAGUCUGAUGUGAAAGCCCCCGGCUCAACCGGGGAGGGUCAUUGGAAACUGGGAAACUUGAGUGCAGAAGAGGAGAGUGGAAUUCCACGUGUAGCGGUGAAAUGCGUAGAGAUGUGGAGGAACACCAGUGGCGAAGGCGACUCUCUGGUCUGUAACUGACGCUGAGGAGCGAAAGCGUGGGGAGCGAACAGGAUUAGAUACCCUGGUAGUCCACGCCGUAAACGAUGAGUGCUAAGUGUUAGGGGGUUUCCGCCCCUUAGUGCUGCAGCUAACGCAUUAAGCACUCCGCCUGGGGAGUACGGUCGCAAGACUGAAACUCAAAGGAAUUGACGGGGGCCCGCACAAGCGGUGGAGCAUGUGGUUUAAUUCGAAGCAACGCGAAGAACCUUACCAGGUCUUGACAUCCUCUGACAACCCUAGAGAUAGGGCUUUCCCUUCGGGGACAGAGUGACAGGUGGUGCAUGGUUGUCGUCAGCUCGUGUCGUGAGAUGUUGGGUUAAGUCCCGCAACGAGCGCAACCCUUGAUCUUAGUUGCCAGCAUUCAGUUGGGCACUCUAAGGUGACUGCCGGUGACAAACCGGAGGAAGGUGGGGAUGACGUCAAAUCAUCAUGCCCCUUAUGACCUGGGCUACACACGUGCUACAAUGGACAGAACAAAGGGCUGCAAGACCGCAAGGUUUAGCCAAUCCCAUAAAUCUGUUCUCAGUUCGGAUCGCAGUCUGCAACUCGACU
Molecule: ribosomal RNA, 1276 nt
Filed under: Azospirillum lipoferum
Lineage: Bacteria; Pseudomonadati; Pseudomonadota; Alphaproteobacteria; Rhodospirillales; Azospirillaceae
Description: bacterial SSU rRNA
Rfam family: Bacterial small subunit ribosomal RNA
Source: RNAcentral